AAUUUGAUCGCAUAAAAAUAUAUAAUAUUCGAAGAUUUUCUAAAUUAAUAGAUUUAGCGUGCUAAAGACUAUACUAAAAAGACGUGUACACGUUCAGAAACGUGAUUUCUAGUUUAUUAAACCUACGGUAUAUAAAUGAAAGCUUCUCGAAGCCAACCAGAGUUCUCUCUCUGUUUUUUCAAGAUAUUUUUUUCAGGUUCAUCGUGGAUCAUCGGUGCAUCGUUGUCCUUCGACAUAGUCUAGGACUGGAGAACGUACGUACAUAAGUGCAUCCGCGAGAAGGAACGAGCUUCGCCGUUUUCUCCCUGAUUUCUUUCGAGCAACCUUUACGAAGUGGCUCGUAAAAGAAAUCCUUGGCAAAUUGGGCCACGCGACGGGCCCAAAUUGUUCUCGUGUUUCGACUCGGUGUUUCGGCUGGCCGUGUUUCGACGACCACGAAAAUCACGCGAGAUUUAUUCCCCUUCCUCAUUCCUCUUUCGGCAGGGUCUGGCGUUAGUUUUGACAGGACUGCGAGAAAAUUUAUCGAGGAGAGUGUAAAGACGGUGGCAGCUUACGACCCGACAAUGUUUUCAGCUAUUAGACGAAACAAGUCCGCUGCUCUUUUACGAGCAGUUGCGGUGACCCACAACGCCUCGUCCACCUCGAGCCACUACCAUUUUUCGAUCGUAAAUUCUAUCGUACGUGUACUACAUGUACAUACAUCGAACUGACCACCCGCGUGCGACCGGAUCGAAGAGAACUUGGCCACGAGUGGACCAGCGGAAAGAGAGAUGAAAGGGAGAGGAACGAUGACGACGAAGAAGAAGAAGAAGGAGAAGAAGAAAAGGAACCGUAGGAGGAAGUUUUUGCUCGGUGUUGCACAUGUGGCCAGCGGCGAUUCGGCUGUGAUAAAAGCUCGGGCCCGUUGCUCGUGCCUCGCGGCCUCGCGGGACGACCAACGACGCCGCGCCGGCCCCCGAGAUACAACAGCGGCUCGAACAGCGGCCGGGAUCGAGAAAAGGCCUUCUUCGGCAAGUUGAGCGAAUCGCGUGUGCGAUGGUGCGCACAUCCGCGCCACGAAAGAACGAGACACAGUGCCCGGAGUCCAGAGGAUCGAGGAGCGUGUGUCGCGCGUUACGCACGUGCGCCACCCUUCUUCGAUCCUUCUUCGAGCCGGUUGCCUCGAUUCACCGCCUUUUACAGGCCUCCCUGGUCAUCGAAUUAAGACGACGAAAGUCGGCGACUUUCAACGUCAUUUUAUUUUUCGGGAUAUUCAGAGACAUCGGAGGAUUCUAAUCACGAAGCAAUAUCAAUCAAAGACGAGUUGAUUCGUCUGAAUUUUCUCGGUUCAUUUAUGUAUCUUUGUAUUUUUAUUAGAAUUAUAUUGAAUUAUAUUGUAUUUUAGCGGGGAGUGGGAGGAUUUGUAAAAAUUAAAACUGACCUAAUCCCUUUGCUUUAAAAAGUAGUUCGUUCUCUUUACCUCGAUAUCUCUUUGUCGAUGGUGUGCAUUCACAUACUGCAUCGAAUGAUGGACCGCGCGAACAAAUGAUCCCGCGUUAUAAAUUACGAUAAUGGCCGAAGACGUUACAAUCAGAGUAGUAAUUAGUCUCAGUCGGCACCGAUCGAACAGUUUAUCGUUCCACAGCUAUCGUCGUGAGUUUCUUCUUCUUCUUUUUUCUUUUCUUUUUUUUUCAUCGUAAUUCACAAUAGAAAACUGACAAUUUCUCAUCGAUUCUAGAAUCAUAAACAAUCGUGUUCAUGACUUUCUUUUUAGUAUACGAUUCUUUUUUAUUUUACCAUAUAAAAAAAGAAGCUUCUAUGCAAAGCUGUGCUCGUAAUCACUUACGUACGAUUAUGCUGUCUUCUUGCAAUAAAUACAUUUCUGAAAAUAAAUCCUUUGGUUUAUUAACCCUCACGAACGAGAUAGCUUCACAUCAGCUUGUAUUAUAAGCACAGCGAUGAUCAAGUCAAACUUCGUCCAGUAUUUCCCUUUCCACGUGCCCUGAAAACAAAUUUUCGUGUUAGAUUUUUCUUUUAUCGAAUAUACGAAUGUACUAUUAAUAUUUCCAGUAAUUUUCUUUUCUAUACUCAAAUUGCCUCUGUCGUGACUAUCGUGCAACGAUUAAUUACAUAAGCAUCUGGGCAAUGAAAUUUGAAACACAAGAAAAAGCUUGACUCCUCUCGAGAGUCUCGAUUAAUACCUUGUCUAUCGUCUUACUCGCAAUUUGGUCCGAGUCGCUUUGAUAAAUAAGUCAACCUCCGUACAAGAAACAAAAGCAAAAGAUAAGGGGAAGGGAAGAUAAAGAAUAUGAAGGCCUUGGGAACGAAGAAAGACACCGACCGACCUAAGGAGGAGGACGACGAAGGGUCUCUGAACGGUAUAUCUAUGAUCGGACGUUGGACGAGAGAGGACUAAACGUCGCGUCGGCAGCGCGAAUUCAACGCGAAAAACGUACAAACAGACAGGGAUUCUUUCCGAGAAGCUAGCGGCUGUCUCGUAUCUCGAAUCACUCUCUGCCAAAUGCCAAUUAUCAUGAGCCGCCGCUAGCAAUUAACAGGCAACAGGCAUCGGCGAACUGUUAUAUUCCUUCUUGGCCUCGUCGGAAAAGGGGAAACAGCCCUCGACCAGCUUGCAGCUCAUUCCAUUCGUUCGUAUUUUCGCUUAACGCCUCGCGCUUGGCACAUAUCUCAGAUAAGAAACUUCGGAUCGGAUAUAUAAUCGCACAUUGUGGCACACGAAAGUACUCGAACACUUUUCGUGGAAAAUCUCUACACGACUGGUGUGUAAUACGUAUUGAUUUUCAACUUUCACCGACCGGAGAAGGUUGUGAUGGAAUUUAGGUUUCUUUCUCCACCGAGAUCUAUUUGUAUGUGCUGUAAAUCAGUCUUUUUCAGAGUUCAUUUUUACGAGUUGCAGUAAAAAUAAUCUUAAGUGGUCGACACGACUCUGCUUCGUACGGCUACUCCUCCAGUUUCAGGUACUAUUACAUUUCCAGAAGAAGCAAAGAGUUAUCGAGAAUUGACGCGUGAAUUUGAAGAAGCAGAGUUAGAAAAAUAUCGAUGCAAGCAUCCAAACUUUUCUAAAUUUAAUGCAUUUAAAAGAACGUAAAUAUGGAAAUUUAAUUAGAGCUGAAAGUUUAACUCUGUCAUAUGUCGAGAAUAAUGAUCGAAUCUCCUUGAUUCUUCUUAAAAAGGAAAAGAAAAAUUGAUGUCUCGUUUUCGUUAUCUAAUCUAAUUUAAUUGCCACGUUCCUUUCUGUCACAGAUGAAUAUGAGCAGAGAGAAAAUCAUGGGAGGAUCGACGGUACUUAAGAAGUUUCUCCAAUCAAUCGACGUUAGAGAUAACGUUGGUCAUUCCAUUAAUUCGCAAUUUUUUCAUAAAUAAUUUUAUGCAACGUUACGUUGCACCGAUAAUAUUUUCUUGUGGGAAUAGCAAUUAGUUUUUUUUCAAAGUAUAUGCAAUUUUAAUGUAAUAUAUGAUACGAUGAUU
Long non-coding RNA from Frieseomelitta varia, 3468 nucleotides. RefSeq lists it as uncharacterized. The record is from RefSeq and is a predicted model, not a curated record. NCBI's taxonomy places the organism in Eukaryota, Metazoa, Arthropoda, Insecta, Hymenoptera, Apidae. The transcript has 3 exons.